This 982-nucleotide non-coding RNA is filed under the name Nothoprocta ornata. RNAcentral's name for it is "12S ribosomal RNA". It matches the Rfam family "Bacterial small subunit ribosomal RNA". RNAcentral also lists the same sequence under 1 other name. Lineage: Eukaryota; Metazoa; Chordata; Aves; Tinamiformes; Tinamidae. The record is from RNAcentral.
AAAAGACUUAGUCCUAACCUUACCAUUAAUUAUUACUAAACAUAUACAUGCAAGUAUCAGCGUUCCAGUGUAAAUGCCCUCAAAACCUCACACUCAGGUAAGAGGAGCGGGUAUCAGGCACACCUAUCAUGUUGCCCAUAACACCUUGCUAUGCCACACCCCCACGGGUACUCAGCAGUAAUUAACAUUAAGCAAUGAGCGAAAGCUUGACUUAGUUAUAGUAAUUUAGGACCGGUAAAUCUUGUGCCAGCCACCGCGGUCAUACAAGAGGUCCAAAUUAAUGGUGUACGGCGUAAAGAGUGGGGAUAUGUUAUCAUAUCUAACUAAGAUCAAAAUGCAACCAAGCUGUCAUAAGCAUAAGAUGCACCUAAAACCUCCAUAAAAAUGAUCCUAGCACUACAAAUGGUCUAUUAUAACCCACGAAAGCUAAGAGACAAACUGGGAUUAGAUACCCCACUAUGCUUAGCCCUAAAUCUAGAUGCUUACACUACUAAAGCAUCCGCCUGAGAACUACGAGCACAAACGCUUAAAACUCUAAGGACUUGGCGGUGCCCUAAACCCACCUAGAGGAGCCUGUUCUAUAAUCGAUACUCCACGAUAUACCCAACCACCUCUUGCUACUACAGCCUAUAUACCGCCGUCGCCAGCUCGCCUAAUGAAAGAAUAACAGCGAGCACAAUAGUCACCCACUAACAAGACAGGUCAAGGUAUAGCCUAUGAGGUGGAAGAAAUGGGCUACAUUUUCUAAUAUUAGAAUAAACCUUUACACCAACGAAAGAGGUAAUGAAAUCUUCCCUCAGAAGGCGGAUUUAGCAGUAAACUAGAACUAGAAUGUCUACUUUAAGCUGGCUCUAGGGCACGUACAUACCGCCCGUCACCCUCCUCAUAAGCAAUUAUCUCCAUACAUAAUAACUUCUAACCUAGCUGAAGAUGAGGUAAGUCGUAACAAGGUAAGUGUACCGGAAGGUGUACUUAGCAUAUC